RNAcentral lists this ribosomal RNA (253 nucleotides) under uncultured bacterium. RNAcentral describes it as "partial 16S ribosomal RNA". It matches the Rfam family "Bacterial small subunit ribosomal RNA", at positions 524 to 776 of the family's 1533-position model. The record is from RNAcentral.
UACGUAGGUGGCAAGCGUUGUCCGGAUUUACUGGGCGUAAAGAGCGCGCAGGCGGUCGUUCAAGUCGCGUGUGAAAGCCCCCGGCUCAACUGGGGAGGGUCACGCGAUACUGAUCGACUCGAAGGCAGGAGAGGGUAGUGGAAUUCCCGGUGUAGUGGUGAAAUGCGUAGAUAUCGGGAGGAACACCAGUGGCGAAGGCGGGUCUCUGGGACGGUACUGACGCUGAGACGCGAAAGCGUGGGGAGCGAACAGG